Molecule: ribosomal RNA, 394 nt
Filed under: uncultured bacterium
Lineage: Bacteria
Description: partial 16S ribosomal RNA
Rfam family: Bacterial small subunit ribosomal RNA
Source: RNAcentral
ACACGUAGGGGGCGAGCGUUAUCCGGAUUUACUGGGCGUAAAGGGCGUGUAGGCGGUCUUGCAAGUCCGGCGUGAAAGACCCCGGCCCAACCGGGGGGACGCGCUGGAAACUGCGGGGCUUGAGUACAGGAGGGGAUGCCGGAAUUCCAGGUGUAGGGGUGCAAUCUGUAGAUAUCUGGAAGAACACUAAUGGCGAAGGCAGGCAUCUGGCCAUGUACUGACGCUGAGACGCGAAGGUGCGGGGAGCAAACAGGUUUAGAUACCCUGGUAGUCCGCACAGUAAACGAUGUGCACCAGGUGGCGGGGGGUCGACCCUCGGUACCGUAGCUAACGCAUUAAGUGCACCGCCUGGGGAGUAUGCUCGCAAGGGUGAAACUCAAAGGAAUUGACGGGG